UGCCAGCCGCCGCGGUAAUACGAAGGGGGCAAGCGUUGUUCGGAAUUACUGGGCGUAAAGCGUGCGUAGGCGGCUUUGCAAGUUAGAAGUGAAAGCCCCGGGCUCAACCCGGGAAUUGCUUUUAAGACUGCAUUGCUUGAAUUCGGGAGAGGAUAGUGGAAUACCCAGUGUAGAGGUGAAAUUCGUAGAUAUUGGGUGGAACACCAGUGGCGAAGGCGACUAUCUGGACCGACAUUGACGCUGAGGCACGAAAGCGUGGGGAGCAAACAGGAUUAGAUA
RNAcentral lists this ribosomal RNA (279 nucleotides) under uncultured bacterium. RNAcentral describes it as "partial 16S ribosomal RNA". It matches the Rfam family "Bacterial small subunit ribosomal RNA", at positions 506 to 784 of the family's 1533-position model. The record is from RNAcentral.